UCCCUGGUGGCUUAGACGGUAAAGCGUCUCUCUGCAAUGCAGGAGACCCAGGUUCAAUCCCUGGAUUGGGAA
Molecule: transfer RNA, 72 nt
Filed under: Bos taurus (domestic cattle)
Lineage: Eukaryota; Metazoa; Chordata; Mammalia; Artiodactyla; Bovidae
Also listed under: 2 other names
Rfam family: tRNA
About the family: Transfer RNA (tRNA) molecules are approximately 80 nucleotides in length. Their secondary structure includes four short double-helical elements and three loops (D, anti-codon, and T loops).
Source: Rfam by way of RNAcentral